RNAcentral lists this ribosomal RNA (2904 nucleotides) under Escherichia coli B7-2. RNAcentral describes it as "bacterial LSU rRNA". It matches the Rfam family "Bacterial large subunit ribosomal RNA". The record is from RNAcentral. Lineage: Bacteria; Pseudomonadati; Pseudomonadota; Gammaproteobacteria; Enterobacterales; Enterobacteriaceae.
UUAAGCGACUAAGCGUACACGGUGGAUGCCUUGGCAGUCAGAGGCGAUGAAGGACGUGCUAAUCUGCGAUAAGCGUCGGUAAGGUGAUAUGAACCGUUAUAACCGGCGAUUUCCGAAUGGGGAAACCCAGUGUGAUUCGUCACACUAUCAUUAACUGAAUCCAUAGGUUAAUGAGGCGAACCGGGGGAACUGAAACAUCUAAGUACCCCGAGGAAAAGAAAUCAACCGAGAUUCCCCCAGUAGCGGCGAGCGAACGGGGAGGAGCCCAGAGCCUGAAUCAGUGUGUGUGUUAGUGGAAGCGUCUGGAAAGGCGCGCGAUACAGGGUGACAGCCCCGUACACAAAAAUGCACAUACUGUGAGCUCGAUGAGUAGGGCGGGACACGUGGUAUCCUGUCUGAAUAUGGGGGGACCAUCCUCCAAGGCUAAAUACUCCUGACUGACCGAUAGUGAACCAGUACCGUGAGGGAAAGGCGAAAAGAACCCCGGCGAGGGGAGUGAAAAAGAACCUGAAACCGUGUACGUACAAGCAGUGGGAGCACAGAGCAAUCUGUGUGACUGCGUACCUUUUGUAUAAUGGGUCAGCGACCUAUAUUCUGUAGCAAGGUUAACCGAAUAGGGGAGCCGAAGGGAAACCGAGUCUUAACCGGGCGUUAAGUUGCAGGGUAUAGACCCGAAACCCGGUGAUCUAGCCAUGGGCAGGUUGAAGGUUGGGUAACACUAACUGGAGGACCGAACCGACUAAUGUUGAAAAAUUAGCGGAUGACUUGUGGCUGGGGGUGAAAGGCCAAUCAAACCGGGAGAUAGCUGGUUCUCCCCGAAAGCUAUUUAGGUAGCGCCUCGUGAAUUCAUCUCCGGGGGUAGAGCACUGUUUCGGCAAGGGGGUCAUCCCGACUUACCAACCCGAUGCAAACUGCGAAUACCGGAGAAUGUUAUCACGGGAGACACACGGCGGGUGCUAACGUCCGUCGUGAAGAGGGAAACAACCCAGACCGCCAGCUAAGGUCCCAAAGUCAUGGUUAAGUGGGAAACGAUGUGGGAAGGCCCAGACAGCCAGGAUGUUGGCUUAGAAGCAGCCAUCAUUUAAAGAAAGCGUAAUAGCUCACUGGGUCGAGUCGGCCUGCGCGGAAGAUGUAACGGGGCUAACCCACGCACCGAAGCUGCGGCAGCGACACUGUGUGUUGUUGGGUAGGGGAGCGUUCUGUAAGCCUGUGAAGGUGUGCUGUGAGGCAUGCUGGAGGUAUCAGAAGUGCGAAUGCUGACAUAAGUAACGAUAAAGCGGGUGAAAAGCCCGCUCGCCGGAAGACCAAGGGUUCCUGUCCAACGUUAAUCGGGGCAGGGUGAGUCGACCCCUAAGGCGAGGCCGAAAGGCGUAGUCGAUGGGAAACAGGUUAAUAUUCCUGUACUUGGUGUUACUGCGAAGGGGGGACGGAGAAGGCUAUGUUGGCCGGGCGACGGUUGUCCCGGUUUAAGCGUGUAGGCUGGUUUUCCAGGCAAAUCCGGAAAAUCAAGGCUGAGGCGUGAUGACGAGGCACUACGGUGCUGAAGCAACAAAUGCCCUGCUUCCAGGAAAAGCCUCUAAGCAUCAGGUAACAUCAAAUCGUACCCCAAACCGACACAGGUGGUCAGGUAGAGAAUACCAAGGCGCUUGAGAGAACUCGGGUGAAGGAACUAGGCAAAAUGGUGCCGUAACUUCGGGAGAAGGCACGCUGAUAUGUAGGUGAAGUCCCUCGCGGAUGGAGCUGAAAUCAGUCGAAGAUACCAGCUGGCUGCAACUGUUUAUUAAAAACACAGCACUGUGCAAACACGAAAGUGGACGUAUACGGUGUGACGCCUGCCCGGUGCCGGAAGGUUAAUUGAUGGGGUCAGCGCAAGCGAAGCUCUUGAUCGAAGCCCCGGUAAACGGCGGCCGUAACUAUAACGGUCCUAAGGUAGCGAAAUUCCUUGUCGGGUAAGUUCCGACCUGCACGAAUGGCGUAAUGAUGGCCAGGCUGUCUCCACCCGAGACUCAGUGAAAUUGAACUCGCUGUGAAGAUGCAGUGUACCCGCGGCAAGACGGAAAGACCCCGUGAACCUUUACUAUAGCUUGACACUGAACAUUGAGCCUUGAUGUGUAGGAUAGGUGGGAGGCUUUGAAGUGUGGACGCCAGUCUGCAUGGAGCCGACCUUGAAAUACCACCCUUUAAUGUUUGAUGUUCUAACGUGGACCCGUGAUCCGGGUUGCGGACAGUGUCUGGUGGGUAGUUUGACUGGGGCGGUCUCCUCCUAAAGAGUAACGGAGGAGCACGAAGGUUGGCUAAUCUUGGUCGGACAUCAGGAGGUUAGUGCAAUGGCAUAAGCCAGCUUGACUGCGAGCGUGACGGCGCGAGCAGGUGCGAAAGCAGGUCAUAGUGAUCCGGUGGUUCUGAAUGGAAGGGCCAUCGCUCAACGGAUAAAAGGUACUCCGGGGAUAACAGGCUGAUACCGCCCAAGAGUUCAUAUCGACGGCGGUGUUUGGCACCUCGAUGUCGGCUCAUCACAUCCUGGGGCUGAAGUAGGUCCCAAGGGUAUGGCUGUUCGCCAUUUAAAGUGGUACGCGAGCUGGGUUUAGAACGUCGUGAGACAGUUCGGUCCCUAUCUGCCGUGGGCGCUGGAGAACUGAGGGGGGCUGCUCCUAGUACGAGAGGACCGGAGUGGACGCAUCACUGGUGUUCGGGUUGUCAUGCCAAUGGCACUGCCCGGUAGCUAAAUGCGGAAGAGAUAAGUGCUGAAAGCAUCUAAGCACGAAACUUGCCCCGAGAUGAGUUCUCCCUGACCCUUUAAGGGUCCUGAAGGAACGUUGAAGACGACGACGUUGAUAGGCCGGGUGUGUAAGCGCAGCGAUGCGUUGAGCUAACCGGUACUAAUGAACCGUGAGGCUUAACCUU